AUGAAAAUUUUAAGCUGGAAUUGUAACGGGCUCGGAAACGCCGCAGCAGUUCGUGCGUUGUUGGAUGUCCAGCGAGCAUGCAACCCAGACGUGAUGUUUCUGUCAGAGACUCACUUGGAAAGCUACCCGGCUAAAUGUUUACGAAGGAGAUUAAACAAGGAUCAUAAAUUGGUGUGUGCGGGAGAUGGUCGGAAAGGUGGUUUGAUACUG
This 210-nucleotide ribosomal RNA is filed under the name Triticum aestivum (bread wheat). RNAcentral describes it as "partial small subunit ribosomal RNA". The record is from RNAcentral. Lineage: Eukaryota; Viridiplantae; Streptophyta; Magnoliopsida; Poales; Poaceae.